RNAcentral lists this small nucleolar RNA (157 nucleotides) under Bos mutus (wild yak). Its description in RNAcentral is "Small nucleolar RNA SNORA15 (ENSBMUG00000010419.1)". It matches the Rfam family "Small nucleolar RNA SNORA15". Rfam says of the family: ACA15 is a member of the H/ACA class of snoRNA that guide the sites of modification of uridines to pseudouridines. The record is from RNAcentral. Lineage: Eukaryota; Metazoa; Chordata; Mammalia; Artiodactyla; Bovidae.
GGCUGAAGACUGCGGUUUUUUUAAAUCAGUGGUUUACAUAGCCAGACACCAGGCAGAAAAGAAAAGAGUGGUCUUCCCUUUAAAGUGGUUAUAAUCAUGUGCUAAGUUUUUUUUUUUUCCCCCCCAUAACAUAUCAUUAUUCAAGGGAAAUACAAAG